RNAcentral lists this ribosomal RNA (465 nucleotides) under Vreelandella stevensii. RNAcentral's name for it is "partial 16S ribosomal RNA". It matches the Rfam family "Bacterial small subunit ribosomal RNA", at positions 338 to 795 of the family's 1533-position model. The record is from RNAcentral. Lineage: Bacteria; Pseudomonadati; Pseudomonadota; Gammaproteobacteria; Oceanospirillales; Halomonadaceae.
CCUACGGGCGGCAGCAGUGGGGAAUAUUGGACAAUGGGCGAAAGCCUGAUCCAGCCAUGCCGCGUGUGUGAAGAAGGCCUUCGGGUUGUAAAGCACUUUCAGUGGGGAAGAAAGCCUUGGGGCUAAUACCCUCGAGGAAGGACAUCACCCACAGAAGAAGCACCGGCUAACUCCGUGCCAGCAGCCGCGGUAAUACGGAGGGUGCGAGCGUUAAUCGGAAUUACUGGGCGUAAAGCGCGCGUAGGCGGUCUGAUAAGCCGGUUGUGAAAGCCCCGGGCUCAACCUGGGAACGGCAUCCGGAACUGUCAGGCUAGAGUGCAGGAGAGGAAGGUAGAAUUCCCGGUGUAGCGGUGGAAUGCGUAGAGAUCGGGAGGAAUACCAGUGGCGAAGGCGGCCUUCUGGACUGACACUGACGCUGAGGUGCGAAAGCGUGGGUAGCAAACAGGAUUAGAUACCCGAGUAGUC